Molecule: ribosomal RNA, 485 nt
Filed under: uncultured bacterium
Lineage: Bacteria
Description: partial 16S ribosomal RNA
Rfam family: Bacterial small subunit ribosomal RNA
Source: RNAcentral
AUGAACGCUGGCGGCGUGCCUAAUACAUGCAAGUCGAACGCUGGAAAUCUAGCUUGCUAGAUUGAAGGAGUGGCGAACGGGUGAGUAAUACAUAAGCAACCUACCCACGAAGACUGGGAUAAUCUCUGGAAACGGGGACUAAUACCGGAUAGGUAAUCGGAAGGCAUCUUCUGAUUAUUAAAGGUUAAAAACACUGGUGGAUGGGCUUAUGGCGCAUUAGUUAGUUGGUGAGGUAACGGCCCACCAAGACGAUGAUGCGUAGCCGGCCUGAGAGGGUGAACGGCCACAUUGGGACUGAGACACGGCCCAGACUCCUACGGGAGGCAGCAGUAGGGAAUGUUCGGCAAUGGGGGAAACCCUGACCGAGCAACGCCGCGUGAGUGAUGACGGCCUUCGGGUUGUAAAGCUCUGUUGUAAGGGAAGAACGGUAGAUAGAGAAUAUCUAAAUGACGGUACCUUACCAGAAAGCCACGGCUAACUACGUG